Molecule: ribosomal RNA, 109 nt
Filed under: Microtus ochrogaster (prairie vole)
Lineage: Eukaryota; Metazoa; Chordata; Mammalia; Rodentia; Cricetidae
Source: RNAcentral
GUAUGUGGCCAUACCACCCUGAAUGUGCCUGACCUUGUAAGCUAAGCAGGGUCGGGCCUAGUUAGUACUUGGAUGGGAGACGGAGUGGGAAUACUGGGUGCUGUAGACU